This 66-nucleotide transfer RNA is filed under the name Chloroflexota bacterium. RNAcentral describes it as "Chloroflexi bacterium (hot springs metagenome) tRNA-Ala". It matches the Rfam family "tRNA", at positions 9 to 71 of the family's 71-position model. From Rfam's summary of the family: Transfer RNA (tRNA) molecules are approximately 80 nucleotides in length. Their secondary structure includes four short double-helical elements and three loops (D, anti-codon, and T loops). Lineage: Bacteria; Bacillati; Chloroflexota. The record is from RNAcentral.
CGCUUAAUCAGGCAGAGCGUCCCGAUUGCAUCGGGGAGGUCAGGGGUUCGAAUCCCCUCAGCUCCA